Molecule: transfer RNA, 30 nt
Filed under: Austrobdella californiana
Lineage: Eukaryota; Metazoa; Annelida; Clitellata; Hirudinida; Piscicolidae
Description: partial tRNA-Leu
Source: RNAcentral
CUAAAAAUAAUAAGAAAUUAUUCUAUAUUA